GGUCCGAUGGUGAAGCGGUUUAACACUGCAGUUUGCAAAACUGCCACUCGUGGGUUCGAAUCCCACUCGGACCU
RNAcentral lists this transfer RNA (74 nucleotides) under bacterium. Its description in RNAcentral is "tRNA-Cys". It matches the Rfam family "tRNA". Rfam says of the family: Transfer RNA (tRNA) molecules are approximately 80 nucleotides in length. Their secondary structure includes four short double-helical elements and three loops (D, anti-codon, and T loops). The record is from RNAcentral. RNAcentral also lists the same sequence under 3 other names.